This 633-nucleotide ribosomal RNA is filed under the name uncultured fungus. Its description in RNAcentral is "LSU rRNA". It matches the Rfam family "Eukaryotic large subunit ribosomal RNA", at positions 23 to 664 of the family's 3401-position model. Lineage: Eukaryota; Fungi. The record is from RNAcentral.
ACCCGCUGAACUUAAGCAUAUCAAUAAGCGGAGGAAAAGAAACCAACAGGGAUUGCCUCAGUAACGGCGAGUGAAGCGGCAAGUGCUCAAAUUUUAAAUCUGGCGUCUACGACGUCCCGAGUUGUAAUUUGGAGAGGCAUCUUCGGGGGCAGCGUCAGACUAUGUUCCUUGGAACAGGACGUCGCAGAGGGUGAGAAUCCCGUGUCUGCCUGGCUGUCUGAUCCCUUGUGAAGUGCCUUCUACGAGUCGAGUUGUUUGGGAAUGCAGCUCCAAGUGGGUGGUAAAUUUCAUCUAAAGCUAAAUAUGGGCGAGAGACCGAUAGCGCACAAGUAGAGUGAUCGAAAGAUGAAAAGCACUUUGAAAAUAGAGUUAAAAAGUACGUGAAAUUGUUGAAAGGGAAGCGCUUGAGACCAGACUCAGCCCCUAGCAAACAUCCUUCCCUACUCCAGGGAGGUGCACUUGCAUUGGGGCUGGGCCAGCGUCGGUUAGUGUGGUGGGACAAAGGCGUAGGGAAUGUGGCUCCUCUCGAGGAGUGUUAUAGUCCUGCGUGCAAUGCCACCUAUGCUGACUGAGGACCGCGCCUUGGCGAGGAUGCUGGCACAAUGGUCUUCAGCGACCCGUCUUGAAACACGG